GAGUCAUUGGGACUCUAGUAAACCUAAAGGCGCAAUGAAAGUAAAGGUCCGCCUCGCGCGGACCGAGGGAGGAUGGGCCCGUUUACGGGCGGGCCCCGCACUCCCGGGGCGUCUCGUUCUCAUCGCGAGAAGAGGCGCACCCAGAGCGUACACGCUGGGACCCGAAAGAUGGUGAACUAUGCCUGGUCAGGACGAAGUCAGGGGAAACCCUGAUGGAGGUCCGUAGCGAUUCUGACGUGCAAAUCGAUCGUCGGAACUGGGUAUAGG
This 267-nucleotide ribosomal RNA is filed under the name Circellium bacchus. Its description in RNAcentral is "partial 28S ribosomal RNA". It matches the Rfam family "Eukaryotic large subunit ribosomal RNA", at positions 688 to 921 of the family's 3401-position model. Lineage: Eukaryota; Metazoa; Arthropoda; Insecta; Coleoptera; Scarabaeidae. The record is from RNAcentral.